Molecule: unclassified non-coding RNA, 329 nt
Filed under: soil metagenome
Description: partial contains 5.8S ribosomal RNA, internal transcribed spacer 2, and large subunit ribosomal RNA
Rfam family: 5.8S ribosomal RNA (bases 1-120)
Source: RNAcentral
GAUGAAGAACGUAGCGAAAUGCGAUAAGUAGUGUGAAUUGCAGAAUUCAGUGAAUCAUCGAAUCUUUGAACGCACAUUGCGCCCCAUGGUAUUCCGGGGGGCAUGCCUGUCCGAGCGUCAUUACAACCCUCAAGCUCAGCUUGGUGUUGGGCCCCGCCGCCCCGGCGGGCCCUAAAGUCAGUGGCGGUGCCGUCCGGCUCCGAGCGUAGUAAUUCUUCUCGCUCUGGAGGUCCGGUCGUGUGCUCGCCAGCAACCCCCAAUUUUUUUCAGGUUGACCUCGGAUCAGGUAGGGAUACCCGCUGAACUUAAGCAUAUCAAUAAGCGGAGGA